Molecule: long non-coding RNA, 895 nt
Filed under: Homo sapiens (human)
Lineage: Eukaryota; Metazoa; Chordata; Mammalia; Primates; Hominidae
Description: HSALNT0314030
Source: RNAcentral
AAUACAUGUACCUCAAUAAUUUUAUCAAGGGCAUGUUUUGUGCUAGAUACUACUCUUUAUGUUAGGAAUAUAAGCAAUUGUAUAAGAUACUUACAGAUUGCAGUAAGUGGUAAAAAAUAUAACAUGAAGAGGGAAUAGUGAUGAGAAGGUAACUAUAUAGGGGAGUGGUCAGGGAGUGCUUCACUGAAGAUGUAAAAUAUGAACUGAAACCUAUAUCCUGAUUUAAAAUAGCUUUGCAGAUGUUUUAGGUAAAUAGCAGCAAGCGAACAAUACCAAAGUUUUUAUUUUUGUAAUUUGAAAUCAAUGUGCAAGCCAGAGCUUCUUUAGGAAAGACCAUUCCUGAGAGAACAACAGGAAGAAAUAUGAAUGUUAAACAUGUGGUGCCGUGUGGAAGCAAAGCUCCAUAAUUAAUCUAUAGAGCCAUCACCACUGUCAAAAGCAGAAAGGCCCCAGAGGAAAUAAUUUUUGUAUAGAAUGAUGGCAGCAUUAGUGACAGCAGUAAUGAUAAGACACUGAAAAAGGGAAUCAGAGCUAUUUCCAUGAAUUAAUGUCUUAAUCCCCACAACAAUGAGGUCGUGGUCAUCUAGUUGUAGAAUGACUCCUGCCUGCUACAUUUCCCCAGAUACCCAGGACCUUCAUGCUGUCACUCUCCAUGACCUGACCAACAUCUAUUUUGAGAAAUUAUUUUAUAUACUCAUUCAAACAGGUUACUUAUUGGUUAUUUAGAAAUUCUGGAUAAAGACUCACAAGUCAAGCGGGGGUGAUGGAAGAUAUUGAAAUGUCUCCCCGUGGCAUAUUCAGUGAAGAAAGUCACUACAUGUUGACAGAUUCCAGUAACCAUUGCUGUGCUGUAAAAAUUGGUUUCACUUACCUAGAAAAGGAAAACAAGAAUAGG